GAGAAGGCGGGCAGAGCCUCCUUUCUUGUCACCUGAGAACGGGGGAGCGGGCACAGAGAGGACCCGGAUCUGUGUCCUGGGUUCAGUUUCCCGGAGGGUCUGAUCUAGACUGUGCUCUAAUGGACCUGGCCUGCUGGUGGGAAGGAGCGCCACCAGCCCAGCCUCUUCUUCAGCAGGUACCUGGAAGCCGAGCCCGAGAGCUCCCACGCUGCCCGCAAGGAGCCAAGCGCGGCAGCUAGGCUAAUUCCCACCCGGAAACCCUCACGCAGACUUUGGGGAUGGGGGGGUAGGGUACCCCUACCCGCGCCUCUGGCA
Ochotona princeps (American pika) is the source of this 315-nucleotide long non-coding RNA. RefSeq lists it as uncharacterized. The record is from RefSeq and is a predicted model, not a curated record. Lineage: Eukaryota; Metazoa; Chordata; Mammalia; Lagomorpha; Ochotonidae. The transcript has 3 exons.